Molecule: long non-coding RNA, 5658 nt
Organism: Taeniopygia guttata (zebra finch)
Lineage: Eukaryota; Metazoa; Chordata; Aves; Passeriformes; Estrildidae
Source: Ensembl
UAGGGAUGCAAUUUGCUUGUGAAUCUUGCACAACUGUCACUGGUUCAAUACAGGCUUAAAGGGAUUAAUUCUUUUCUAGAGGGUCCCAAGUGGAUUUUUUAUUAACCUUUUGGGUAAUAAACAUUUAUCUCAUUUUUACAGCAGCAUUUAACACUAUCUAUUUAUGGCCAAAUAUCUCUAAAUCCAUUACAUGAGCUGAAAAUGCACCUGCUUCAGAAAAAACCUCUCUGGAGAACCUGGAGCAGGCACUGAUAAUUGUAAACAAAACAAAACAAGAGCCCAUAAAAUAAAAAUUAAAGUAUUACCUUGAGUAUCAUGUCUUACAGAAUGGCUGCUUUGAACAAAAACCUAAUUGUUAUCAUAGCAUGUCUAUUAAAAAAAGAGAAAGAAUUAAGAGGAUUGAUGGAGUUGGUGUGAAAUUGAGGCGGUUUCUUGUGUGCCCAAGUCACAAGAGCAGCAUCUGGGAUGUUGUAUGUAUAUUGAGAGCAUGACACUAUGAUCUAUGAGCCCACCCUCUGCCUUGGUGCUUAUAAAUUUAUAGCCUCCAAAACUGUUUUGAAUGCUCUGUAUGAAGAAAUAAUAAUGUGGGCUAGAGGUAGAAGCAACCCAGGUAAAUCCCACAUUUGGUGCUGUCUCUUCUCCUUAAAACCCUGGAGAAUCAACACAGGUUUUACAGGGGUAAGGAUGAGAAAGGAAUGGAGGAAAAUACUACCUGCCAUCCAAAGAACUUCUCUGCAUGCUGUGAGCACAGGUAACACAGAACAGAGAGGGUGCACACCUGAAACCUGCAACAGCAUUCUCAGGGGAAACAGAUUUUAAGCACAUGUUGAUUUAAAUGUCAUCUUACUUUCCUGAAGUUAGGCAUGUGCUUGAGAGCUUUGAAUUAGAAUUGUAGUAACAGUCCCAUUAAAAAAACAAAAAGUUUUCUAGAAAAUCUGAUUGAGUUUCAAGUUACAAUAUCAUUCUUCUUGGAGGUCUAUUGGAUUUUCAUGACCUCAAAAUCUUUAAGAUUAAGCUAGCUUCAAGUUUGGACAAGUGUUGGGAUUUAAUCAGAGCUGCAUAUCUCCUUACCAGUUACUAAUGGACUGCUAAUGUUGUACAUGUACAACAACUUUUCCUAAAAGGUCAUCAUUUUCUUAUUAUGAAGCAUACAGUUUUUCAUAGUCCCUAUGUUUUCCAAAAGUUACACAAUUCAGUUUCCUGAAAAGUUAUUUAUUUGGAGCAGCAUGACAGGAGGUGUAAAUGUCCAUGGCAUUGAGACAACCUGAAAAUUUGCCAUUUUAGAAAUAAGUCUUUUCACUUACUUAUUCUGUAAAUAUAGCUGCUCAUAAUGCAGUAGUGACUAUUUCAAAAUAUGUGAAUCUCUUAUAUCUAAAAGGUAGAAAUGGGGGUCAAAGAAAUUGCAUUAAGCAGCAUGAAAGAAAGAAGCACUCUUUUUGCUGGGCUGAUCAAAUUAAUUAUGCUAAAUAGCUGAAAAUAGAGGGAAAUGAGACAGAAUUAGCCCUUCAAAGGAUGCUUAAGGCAAAGCCAGAAAUGAGCCCACUUCAGAGUGGUCUAGUGAUAUUUACAGCCGGGGAUCUUAUGCUGUGCCCUCUGGCUAACACCAGUUCAUUACUGGUGCGGGUUCCUGUGGCACAACUGUGCCAUAGGAGAGCAGAGGACGAGAGCUGUGAAGUUCUGGGAUGCCACUGCCACUAAACAUGCAGGUUUUUAGAGACUUUUUAGCAAUUAGUAACUGCUGAAUUUUGAUUUGCCAUUUACAUAAUGUGAUUUUUCCUUUUCUGUAAGUGGAAGCUAAGAGCUUCCCAAGAAGUUGUGUAUUUGGAGGGAAUAGGUAAAUGUACACCAAGCCAAAUUUCUAUAGCAUGUACACCUGUGCAGCCCAGAGGGAGCAAUGGAAUCAAACAAAUUUAAUGGAAGAACAGGAAGUGAGGGGGGAAACUGUAGUAAGUUUUCAUUCAUAUAUCAAAAUAAAUGAUAACAGUAUUUAUUCCCGAUGUUGAAUCUGUUCACAAGGUGAUUUUGACUUAAUUUAAUGUGUAAUCUUCCUGCUGCUGCAGUGUUCUGAAAAUUGAUUGUGCUCAAUUCCCAACAUAAAAGCAGUUUGCUGGUACUAUCAAUUUAAUCAUAGCUGCAUUUUGGUUAAAAUAUUUGUCCUAUUGAUAUCAGUAUUUAUCUCUUUCCUUACCCGAGUUGACAAUGUAAUCAAAGUACCAGAAUCUCUACAUGCUGUGUAGAGAUUUUCUUAAUAUUUACUACUGUGCAUGUAAUCUCAAGCAAAAAUAGAAGACAAGAUAUUGCAUAGGCGAGGAGCAGAUCAGGAGCAUUUGCUUUGGUUUUAGGGUUUUGUUUUGCUCUGGUUUUGAUUAAUACAAGGCAAAACUUUCUUUUGUAGAAGUCAUGGUAUAUCCUUUCCACAACAGCUAUGGGCUUAAGUCUUCCCCUCCUGUCUCUAUCAGUCAGGAAAUGUGUGAGUAAGAAGUAGAGACUGUUCCCAAUAGUUCUCAUUAUUCAGUGAAGGUCACUGAUUUUCUGGUACUCAACCAGAAAAGACUUAACACAAGAAAUUAAACAAUGGCUUUACUGAAGGUUUAAAGUCUUUUGUACUAGGAAAUAUUCCACUGCAUAGGGAAUAAUAAAUGGAACAAGGUUUGUAAGACCACUCUUUAAAAUCUAAAAUCUCAUCUAUUUUUUUACAUUUACAUCUCUUUACAUUUACAUGUGGGUUAUUAUAUCUACUUUCACAAUAGAGAACCUUAGGCUCAGGAAUAGUUCAUAUGUGGGUCAUGUAGUGUAUCCACAGAAGAAUUAGAAGUACAGAAUUGUCCUUCUGUCUGAAUCUGACUGUACAGUAACCACUGUACAGGACUAGGUAAAUAAAAGCCUGAUGAGAGGUUUACAGAGGCCUUUGAAGCUCUUUCUAUUGUGAGAAGUUAACCCUUUGAGAAUGAACAGUUGCUCAUUGAAGUAGACAGCAAGAAAUCCACUGCAGUAAAGUUAUUAGGACAUAUUCUUGAGACAAGAUGAAAUGCUUCCCUGGGUGGAACUACUUAGCCAACAAGGUUGUUAGGAUUAUAUAAUGGUAGGGGUUCCUCCAUAAAUAAUAUAUGUGUAAAUCCCUUGAGAGCUAUGUGUUACUUAAUAGAAUAUUCUGCAUACUGAAAAUGAUAACUGCAGAAAAUACUAAAUCUACAGAGCACUCUCAGCAUUGCUAGGACUUAAAUUAUGCUUCUUCACACCAAAAAAAACUCCAACCUUUAUGAGAAGAUGUUACUUGCUGACCGUCUAAAGCAUGUAAUUUAAAUCUGAAUGGUUUCAAAACUUGAAUUAGAAAAUUGAGUGACUCAUCCAAUUCAACAUAAAGAAACAUGAAGUAAUGAGAUUGGAAGGGAAGGUAAUGAAGAGAAAAUUUUACUGUUAUUUCUUAUAGGUUAUGGGGAUAUGAACAAAAGAAAGAUGUGGUACUGAUUUGAAAUAAGCUCUCUGAAGUAAUGAAAUAAUUUUCAAUAGCAAUAUCAAAACCUUAGGAGCAAGGCAAAGUUUUAAUGCUAGGGACCUCAUUUAUUAAACCAAGAAAUGCCAUGGUAAACAAACUGAUGGGGCGAAAGGUUAUUCCUCUGGGAGAGUUCUGUGACACAUUAACACUACAAAUCCAAGUCUGUGAAAAUAAAAGACGCUCCUGAGCUCUGUUACAGAAUACAUGUGAGUUUAGAAGUGAUUUGUGUACAUAUUAGGAAAAAGAAAGCAUGGAAAUAAAGCUUGUUACCAGACUUCAGUGGCCCACGACUUGUGAACACAGGGAUUUUGUGUUUCCACCAUCUCGGCUUCCAAAUGAUUUAGGUAUAUUGGAAACAGAGAUGUGGCUUUGGCUUUUCUGUUGCAGUCACCAAUACUGAGAUUAGACAGGUGCUAAAAUCCUGCACUUGUGCUCCCCAAACCAGGCCUCCAGUACCUGCUUUCCUUGGAGAGUGCUUUGAUAGGAAACAGAGAAAUGUUAGUGGAACUUCUUGUUUGCCAAGAUAAGAAUUCCCUGACCUUGAGUCCAAAACUGAACUAAUACCUGAUUUGAAUUGCUACAAUAGGUAAUUACAUUCAGACUGAAGAAAAAUGGUUGAAAAAAAUCUUGGAUUCUUCAGUUACGGGCAGAGUCCUCUUUCUCUUCAAAACACAUUGAGAGAUUACUCUUUUAGUUAAGAAAUCUUUCAGAUAAAUUACGUUUGGGGAUUGUCAGUUGUAUUCUCUGGUAUUUCAACAAAAUGAGUUGGAUAAGGACACAUCACAGAUAAUAGGACUGCUGGAACAUCAGAUGAAGAACCACAGAGUCAAAUGAGCACUGCUGAGAGCUGAGGGCAAAGCAAGAAGUGCGUUCACAAUGCUGUGCUCAGUGCAGGCCCCAAUCUGAAUGCAGUCAGCUGCUCUCUCGUCCAAACACGUCAGUGUUUUAGAGGACAGGGCUGAUGUAAGAAGAGAUGCAGUUGUGUAAAUGAUUGUUUAAUGUGAUGUCAGUGGACAGCAGGCAGAGCUGUUGAGAACAGGUAAACUGCAAAAAUACAAAUAACUAAAGUACCUGAAAAUAGUUUGAAUCAAACAAGAAAAUGGAAAAAACUUUACUUUGUUCCUUGUGAGGGCUGCAGAUCGUUGGUUAGUCUCUAGUACCACAGGAGUUUUAAUUUGCCACAGUAUUUUCCAGACUAAUUAUUUGCCUAAGUGUUUUCCAGAACCAAUACUAAACUAGCAGUACCAAAAAGUAAAUAAAUAAAUAGUUCUGAGAAUUUUUUUCUAUAGCGGUUUUGAUCUACCUAGAAGCCACUCAAGGAAAGCCAUUUCUUGCUGUGUUUCUGGCUUAUUUUAUGUAUUGCUUGUUGGUUUGACCAAACAUUCAAGCUUCUGAAUUGAUUCAGCCUUUGCCCACAUUUAGAGGUGUCAAAUCACAACUGAAAGCUGGAGGAGCACUCAUUUUUCUCUUUCCCAUUCACAGCUGCCAAGCUCCUGUGUUUUAGCACCUGCCCAAAUUAGCAUGUUCUGCUCCAGCCGAGGACUGACUCCCAGCCAUCUCUUAUGGGCUAAACCCGAGAUUACAAUUGGCUUCAGAAAUGCCAGCCCUUCUCGUGGUCUCUGGCUUUCUUUGUGCCUCAUCCAGCAAGAGCCAGGAUGUAUUCCUAGCUGGUGAAAAUUGAUUUGAACACACAAAAGCCAGGGAUGCUUUAUUGGUUUACAUCUAGCAGGGAUCUGACCUGUCUUUGAACUCUGCCUAGGCUGAUGCUGGUUUUUUUCCCAAAUAUUUUUUUAAGAGUAUGGUGAGCCUCGUCCAAGCUUUAAUUUAUGGAGCAUCACUUCUGUGAGUGGGCAUGAAAUUGAGUUUACCUUUGCUAAUUCAUCAAAUAGCCAGUUAAAAUCUAUUCAGGCAAACCAAAUCUUAUGCAAAACAUCCUUCAUGGCCUAGGCCCUCCACAAGAAGCACAAAUUUCAGGACUGUGCUGUCACCAUAGCUUCAAGUUUUGAUAAAUACCACCCUGUGUGGCUGCUGAGCACUGCCAUGUGGGAAGUUAGUGCCCAGGGAUAAAUCCUGACUGUGAGUGAGGGAAUGUAAACUAAUGAGAGCAGACACACACCAAGCCUCUUCCAACUUGGCUAGGAAAAAAAAAAAGAAAAAAAAAA